UCGAUUAGUAGAGUAUUACACUAGGGGCAAGCCUAUGAUGUGUCUGUGUAGUAUGUGAAUGUUCUUUGCUGAGAGGAAGUGAGUUCUUCCUAUCUUUGGUUCCUUGUUGCUUAAAUUUGAUGUGUGUAUGGAACUUCUCUCAGAAUUAUAAUGUGAGGUCAUGUGACUCAAGAAGAAAAAGUGAGUUUUCACCUCUGUUAGAGUAACUAGAGUAAGAACGAGUGUGUCAUGGCGUUAGAGUCUUCAUCUGAGGUGUGACUGUUGCACUGCUUAGGUUUCUCUUUCGUAAUGGCGGAUGUGGAAUAAAAUUAUGCAUUGAAUGGUUAGGCCUAGAAGUGUGGUUUAACAUGCUCGAGGACAAGCAAAGAUUUAAGUGUGGGGUAUUGAUAAUAGGUGAAUUUAACUAUAAUUAGCCCCUAAAUAUCCACCUUCUUGUGUAGUUUUGAUGAUAAAAGUGAUAACAAAAUGCUCUGAUUAGCGU
This 481-nucleotide long non-coding RNA is filed under the name Nicotiana benthamiana. Its description in RNAcentral is "long non-coding RNA (NBEN_LNC016301)". The record is from RNAcentral. Lineage: Eukaryota; Viridiplantae; Streptophyta; Magnoliopsida; Solanales; Solanaceae.